RNAcentral lists this ribosomal RNA (369 nucleotides) under uncultured bacterium. Its description in RNAcentral is "bacterial SSU rRNA". It matches the Rfam family "Bacterial small subunit ribosomal RNA", at positions 527 to 896 of the family's 1533-position model. The record is from RNAcentral.
GAAGGGGGCUAGCGUUGUUCGGAAWUACUGGGCGUAAAGCGCGUGUAGGCGGGUCUUUAAGUCAGGGGUGAAAUGCCAAGGCUCAACCUUGGAACUGCCUUUGAUACUGGAGACCUUGAGUCCGGGAGAGGUGAGUGGAAUUGCGAGUGUAGAGGUGAAAUUCGUAGAUAUUCGCAAGAACACCAGUGGCGAAGGCGGCUCACUGGCCCGGAACUGACGCUGAGAUGCGAAAGCGUGGGGAGCAAACAGGAUUAGAUACCCUGGUAGUCCACGCUGUAAACGAUGGAUGCUAGCCGUUGGGGAGCUUGCUCUUCAGUGGCGCAGCUAACGCUUUAAGCAUCCCGCCUGGGGAGUACGGUCGCAAGAUUA